GAGAAAUAAGCUAUAGAGAAGCGAGUCCAGAGCGGAGGCUCCAGAAAGGGGGCGCGGGGAAAGCGAUGAGACCCUCGCCCACAAUCGGCUUGCAUUUCUGGAUUUUUCUUUAAACGGGUGAUUGCGGUUUUUUGAUGCUGCAUUUUUGUGGGGCCCUUAGGCAGCUGCCUCUGGUGGUAAAAGCUAGGCGAGGGGGCAGGUGGGAACCCGCCGGUUGUUUAUCCUGUGCUGCCCGCCCCUUCUAUUCUGCUCAGUGGGAAAAUAGGUGGUGGUCUGUGUGUGAUCACAUCCACAACAUCCACAUUGAACACCUACUGGAAGAAUCCUGAAAAUUGUUGUUUGUUAAGGGUGCUGGAAACUGUAGUUCUGCAAGGGGAAAGCAGCAGCUCCCAGGAUGCUUUGGGGGAAGCUACUUGCGGGUGGUGCUGUGGGUUAAACCACUGAGCCUAGGGCUUGCCGAUCGGAAUGUCAGCGGUUCGAAUCCACGAGACGGAGUGAGCUCCCGUUGCUCGGUCCCUGCUCCUGCCAACCUAGCAGUUCAAAAGCAUGUCAAAGUGCAAGUAGAUAAAUAAGUACUGCUCUGGCGGGAAGGUAAACGGUGUUUCCGUGCGCUGCUCUGGUUCGCCAGAAGCGGCUUAGUCAUGCUGGCCACAUGACCCGGAAGCUGUCAGUGGACAAACACCAGCUCCCUCAGCCAGUAAAGCGAGUCGUCCGCGACUGGACUUAAUGGUCAGGGGUCCCUUUACCUUUACUUGCGUUAAACAUGCUUGAACUGUACAGCAUAGAAACACAGAAUUGUAUAUUUUGGAAGGGACCCAGGGGGCGUCUAGUCCAUCCCCCUAGAAUGCAGGAAUCACAGCUACAUCACAGAGCCCAUCUUCCGUGCAUUAUAUCGGUGUUCUUCAAACGUUGGCCUUCCAGAUAUUGCUGGACUACAGCUCCCACCAUCCUGACUGCGGGUGAUGGGAGUCCUGUAACAUCUGGAGGGCACCAGGCUGGGCAAAGCUGAUCUUAGGUACCAGACCCCAUUAACAUUUUAUCUCAAACUCUGGGGAGAACUUAAGGUUCACACAGGAGAAUAUGAGACUUGAGAUAUCUCAGCCCUGGACUACAUCAGACUUUUUAAGUCAAGGCCAUCAUUUUGAAUUAAGCCUGGAAACCAGCUUUAAGACCAUGUGUCUCUAUAGAGGGCAAUCCUCUAUUUGUAGGCAUUAUUUGUUGCAGUGUUCUUCAACCCUGAGUGCUCUGGAUGCUUCUAGACUACAAUACCUAUCAUCCCUGACCAUUGUCCAAGCUGGGAAUGAUGGGAUUUGUGGUGCAACCUUGGGUACCCAAAGUUGAAGAACAUCACCAUAAAUGAAGCUCGUGCCCUCAAGUGUGCUGGAGAAUGCUCUCUUCUUGUUGGGAGUGAAAUCAGAUUCCAGCUGCUAUCCCAGCGGGCUUCUGUUUGUGGGAUGCUGUCCAGAAGUUGGACUUGUGUGCAAUAGCAAUUCUCCACACCUCUGAUUCCUAGGAAGUAGUACCCAGAGGUAUACUGUCUCAGAUAGUGGUGGUAGAAGAACAGAAGAUCCUGGCUGCUGGAUCAGGCCAAAGGGGGCUUAUGUAGCUCAGCAUCGGUAGAGCAUGAGGCUCUUAAUCUCAGGGUCGUGUGUCUGAGCCUCACAUUGGGCAAAAUAUUCCUGCAUUGAAAGGGGUUGGACUAGAUGACCCUCAUGGUCCCUUCCAACUCUACUAUUAUUCUGUCCUGUUCUCAGAGUGGCCAGCCAGAUGUGACAGUGGGAAGCCUACAAGCAGGACCUAAAAACAGAUCUCCAGCACAGGUUUCCAUCAACUGGAAUUCAGAAGCGCCCGGUCUCCUGCAGUGGAGGCACAGCAUAGCUAGUAGCCAUUAAUAGCCUUAUCCUCCUCCACAAAUUUGUCUCAUCCUCUUUUAAAGCUGUCUAGGUUGGUGGCCAUCACUGCCUACUGUGGGAGGGAGUUCCACAGUCUGACUAUGCACUGCAUGAAGGACUUUUUUUAUGUGUCCCGAAUCUUCCAACAUUCAGCUUCAUUGGAUGUGCCCAACUUCUAGCAUUAUGACAGAGGGAGGUUUUCUCUACACCAGGCAUAACUGUGUCUACUUCCAGCAUGCCUUUUUUUUUAUUACAUUUUCUCUAAACAACAACAACAAAAAAGCCCCAAAAUGUUGCAACCAUUCCUCAUAGGGGAUUUACUCUAUCCCCUCAACCAUUUCCAUUGCCCUUUCCUGAACUGAAAAGUCUGGUGGCAUCAUUAUAGAGGACUUGGGUGAUCCAGCUCCUGUGAAUGAGAAGGGAGGUGGGGUUUUUUUUGGGGGGGGAGGUUGUCUGGGAGUUCUCAGUUUCCAGCCUCUUUGGUUUACCAAAAUGAUAUUUAGUGGGGUGGAAUCCCCAGGGACACAGUGGAGAAUAAGUCUGCUUGUUGGGUGGUUGUGAAGCUGCUGAUCAGUGGCUAAGUUAACUUCCAUGAUCAGAGGAAGUGGGCCACUGAAUGCAUAAUCCACAGCAGCCAUUCUAUCUGGCUCUAUGAGAGGAAGAGAGCUGGAAUUAUAGUACCUCUCCAUCUGCUCUCCUGGAAGACCAGCUACUUUUGGCUCCUUCUCUGCUUGAAAUUUUUCCAUUCCAGAUGGUCUUUACAAGAACUCUACAACUAAGAAAUAAUUCCUGAGUUGUUUUUUCUUCUUCUUCUUCUUCUUCUUCUUCUUCUUCUUCUUCUUCUUCUUCUUCUUCUUCUUCUUCUUCCUCUGCUUCUUCCCUCCCAUUCCUUUUUCCUUUUGUGUUAUGUAGGUUUGGAUAAAAAUGCUUUAAAAAAGAAGAAGAAGAAGAUAGUACUGGGUGUCAACAGGAGCGGCAGGCUGUUGCCUUCUUUUCAAAUAAUUUUAGUUGAAGUUUUAAAAGUAUAAGAAAAGGAAAAAAUUACAGAAGAAAAAUGAAAAAGAGAUGAGAGGGAGAAGAUACCCAAAUAGCAGCAUUAUAUAGCAUCCAUGCAGGCAUAGAACAUGAGUACAGCAGAAUAUUGCCAAGGUUUAACAAAAAACUUGCGCAUUUUGAGAAAAGAAAAUAUGUUGAACGUGUGGUGGAUCAAACAAAAAUUUAAUUAAUCUUAAUUUCCAUGCUUAUUUAUCAUAUAUACAACAUAGUAAUAGAGAGAUGAUAAAAAUGAACUAUGAUAAAAUAAAAUAGCAUGGGCGUGUUGUAUCUUAUUGAGUGUAGUUUCAUGUAACCCAUAUUGUAGAAUAAGCUGCUAGAGGGCAGGGGUGCCCUGUGCCAUUUCACAUCCUGAGGCAAAAUGGGAAGGUGCCACACCACCACUACUACCCCAACUUGCUGCUGCCCAUUCCUCAUUGAAGCCUUGUUUGCUGGGGUCAUACGGCUGCAGCUUUCAGGUUCCAACACGAUCUCUCAAGAGGAGGUCUAUGAGAUCUCGCUGGGUUAUGAAAAUGAUAUACAGGUGGUACAUGACCCCAGUCAAGCUUGCAAAAAUCUAUCAUUUGCCCGAUAAUAAAUGCUGGAAAUGUAAAGAAACUGAAGGUACAUUCUUUCACCUUUGGUGGACGUGCCCAAAGAUUAAGGCUUUCUGGGAAAUGAUAUAUAAUGAAUUGAAAAAGGUAUUUAAAUAUACCUUUCUGAAGAAACCAGAGGGCUUUCUUCUGGGCAUUGUCGGCCAAUUGGUGCCAAAGAAGGACAGAACUUUUUUUAUGUAUGCUACAACAGCAGCAAGAAUACUCAUCGCAAAGUAUUGGAAGACAUAAGAUCUACCCACUCUGGAAGAAUGGCAGAUGAAGGUGAUUGACUACAUGGAAUUGGCAGAAAUGACUGGCAGACUCCGAGACCAGGGAGAAGAGUCGGUGAAAGAAGACUGGAAGAAAUUUAAAGACUAUUUACAGAAAUAUUGUAAAAUUAAUGAAUGUUAGAAGGAUGUUGGAUAGAAACUAAGUGGUUUCCAGCUGUAAUGCUUUAAGAGAUAUGAAAAAAAGGUUCACAAAUGGGUAAAAGCUUAAUGGUAAGGAUUUGCUGAACUAACAAAAUGAACUGGAAUACAAAAAAGGGAGGUACGAGGAGGUCCGGGGAAAUAAGUGUAAGGAAGAUAUGCUAUGGAAAAUUAAUGUGUUUUUAACUGUUUUUAUUUUGUAUGUUUCUUUUUAUUUUUCAUUUCUUUGUUAUAUUUUCUUGUAUUUUUACUUUUUGUUUUGUGUAAUUCUUGUAUUCUUUGAAAUUUUAAUAAAUAUCAUU
Molecule: long non-coding RNA, 4250 nt
Filed under: Podarcis lilfordi (Lilford's wall lizard)
Lineage: Eukaryota; Metazoa; Chordata; Lepidosauria; Squamata; Lacertidae
Rfam family: tRNA (bases 1597-1671)
Source: RNAcentral